RNAcentral lists this ribosomal RNA (451 nucleotides) under uncultured bacterium. RNAcentral's name for it is "bacterial SSU rRNA". It matches the Rfam family "Bacterial small subunit ribosomal RNA", at positions 354 to 796 of the family's 1533-position model. The record is from RNAcentral.
GUGAGGAAUAUUGCGCAAUGGGGGAAACCCUGACGCAGCGACGCCGCGUGGGUGAAGAAGGCCUUCGGGUUGUAAAGCCCUGUCAGGUGGGAAGAAACCUCUGAAGGUGAAUAGCCUUCGGAACUGACGGUACCACCAAAGGAAGCACCGGCUAACUCCGUGCCAGCAGCCGCGGUAAGACGGAGGGUGCAAGCGUUGCUCGGAAUCACUGGGCGUAAAGCGCGUGUAGGCGGUCCGAUAAGUCGAGUGUGAAAGCCCGAGGCUCAACCUCGGAAGUGCAUUCGAAACUGCCGGACUUGAGUACGGGAGAGGGAAGUGGAAUUCCUGGUGUAGAGGUGAAAUUCGUAGAUAUCAGGAGGAACACCGGUGGCGAAGGCGGCUUCCUGGACCGAUACUGACGCUGAGACGCGAAAGCGUGGGGAGCAAACAGGAUUAGAUACCCCAGUAGUCC